Molecule: ribosomal RNA, 129 nt
Filed under: Zoogloea ramigera
Lineage: Bacteria; Pseudomonadati; Pseudomonadota; Betaproteobacteria; Rhodocyclales; Zoogloeaceae
Description: partial 16S ribosomal RNA
Rfam family: Bacterial small subunit ribosomal RNA
Source: RNAcentral
CUGGCUCAGAUUGAACGCUGGCGGCAUGCCUUACACAUGCAAGUCGAACGGCAGCGCGGGGCAACCUGGCGGCGAGUGGCGAACGGGUGAGUAAUAUAUCGGAACGUACCCUGGAGUGGGGGAUAACGU